AACGAACGCUGGCGGCAUGCCUAACACAUGCAAGUCGAACGAGACCUUCGGGUCUAGUGGCGCACGGGUGCGUAACGCGUGGGAAUCUACCCUUGGGUUCGGAAUAACUCAGAGAAAUUUGAGCUAAUACCGGAUGAUGUCGCAAGACCAAAGAUUUAUCGCCCAAGGAUGAGCCCGCGUAGGAUUAGCUUGUUGGUGAGGUAAAAGCUCACCAAGGCGACGAUCCUUAGCUGGUCUGAGAGGAUGAUCAGCCACACUGGGACUGAGACACGGCCCAGACUCCUACGGGAGGCAGCAGUGGGGAAUAUUGGACAAUGGGCGAAAGCCUGAUCCAGCAAUGCCGCGUGAGUGAUGAAGGCCUUAGGGUUGUAAAGCUCUUUUACCCGGGAUGAUAAUGACAGUACCGGGAGAAUAAGCCCGGCUAACUCCGUGCCAGCAGCCGCGGUAAAU
Molecule: ribosomal RNA, 450 nt
Filed under: uncultured bacterium
Lineage: Bacteria
Description: bacterial SSU rRNA
Rfam family: Bacterial small subunit ribosomal RNA
Source: RNAcentral